Molecule: non-coding RNA, 118 nt
Organism: Paramuricea clavata
Lineage: Eukaryota; Metazoa; Cnidaria; Anthozoa; Malacalcyonacea; Plexauridae
Source: the annotation of a GenBank genome assembly
CACGUCCUUAGCAUGGGGAGAGGUUCCUCAAUGAUCGAUUAGUGAGAGGGCCGCUACCGCUGGACCAUAUAAUUACACCAGAGAGACUUUAGCUUUAACUCUCUGAAUUUUUGGAACG